Molecule: ribosomal RNA, 433 nt
Filed under: uncultured bacterium
Lineage: Bacteria
Description: partial 16S ribosomal RNA
Rfam family: Bacterial small subunit ribosomal RNA
Source: RNAcentral
AACGAACGCUGGCGGCAUGCCUAACACAUGCAAGUCGAACGAGACCUUCGGGUCUAGUGGCGCACGGGUGCGUAACGCGUGGGAACCUGCCCUUAGGUUCGGAAUAACUCCCCGAAAGGGGUGCUAAUACCGGAUAAUGUCUUCGGACCAAAGAUUUAUCGCCUUUGGAUGGGCCCGCGUUGGAUUAGCUAGUUGGUAGGGUAAAAGCCUACCAAGGCGACGAUCCAUAGCUGGUCUGAGAGGAUGAUCAGCCACACUGGGACUGAGACACGGCCCAGACUCCUACGGGAGGCAGCAGUAGAGAAUAUUAGACAAUGGGCGAUAGCCUGAUCCAGCAAUGCCGCGUGAGUGAUGAAGGCCUUAGGGUUGUAAAGCUCUUUUACCCGGGAUGAUAAUGACAGUACCGGGAGAAUAAGCUCCGGCUAAGUCCGUG